UGAGGAAUAUUGGUCAAUGGGCGCAAGCCUGAACCAGCCAUCCCGCGUGCAGGAAGACGGCCCUAUGGGUUGUAAACUGCUUUUCCAGGGGGAGAAUUUUUCUGUCGUGACAGGAAUUGACGGUACCCUGGGAAUAAGCAUCGGCUAACUCCGUGCCAGCAGCCGCGGUACUACGGAGGAUGCGGUCGUUAUCCGUAUUUAUUGGGUUUAAAGGGUGCGUAGGCGGCUAGAUAAGUCAGUGGUGAAAACCUGCAGCUUAACUGUAGACUUGCCGUUGAUACUGUCAGUCUUGAGUAUGGUCAAGGUAGGCGGAAUGUGUAAUGUAGCGGUGAGAUGCUUAGAUAUUACACAGAACACCGAUUUCGAAGGCAGCUUGCUGGGCCAUUACUGACGCUGAUGCACGAAAGCGUGGGGAUCGAACA
This 422-nucleotide ribosomal RNA is filed under the name uncultured prokaryote. RNAcentral's name for it is "bacterial SSU rRNA". It matches the Rfam family "Bacterial small subunit ribosomal RNA", at positions 355 to 774 of the family's 1533-position model. The record is from RNAcentral.